Molecule: long non-coding RNA, 573 nt
Organism: Temnothorax curvispinosus
Lineage: Eukaryota; Metazoa; Arthropoda; Insecta; Hymenoptera; Formicidae
Exons: 3
Source: RefSeq, a predicted model, not a curated record
AGAUCAAUUCAUUUAAUGCAGAAUUUGACCGUUAUUCUUUUGUGCAAAUUAUGAUUGUGAAUACCGAAUUUCUUUGCUGUUUCGAAGGUUCACACAACGUGCCUUAGACAGCUUUAAAGAGUCCUACUUCCUUUUGAUUGGGAUAGGUGUAGUAUCAUUAGCAAUUAAUUUAUUACAUGCACUACAAGCUGCAUUAAUUGUAGAUAACGCGAAUGAACUGGCAAUAUCAACUUUCUAUGUCAUUGUUCAUUUUCUUUUCAUUUUCAUAGGGAAUUAUGGUGGGCAGACAAUUACAGAUCAUAGCGCAGAUGUAUUAAAAAAGUUAUAUCACGUGCAAUGGUAUAUAGCACCCAUACAAGUGCAAAAAUUAAUUCUUUUCUUAAUGUUAAGAAAUACAAAACAUUUCGGUUUAGUCAUCGGAGGAAUAUAUGUUGCUUCAUUAGAAGGUUUUAUCACGGUGAGAAAAUUCAUAAUGAAUAAUCAGUGCAAGCAUUUAGUUAAUUAUGCUAAUGCAGUCUUGCGUAUUGCACAUUAUGCAUUAAUAAUUCCAUAAUUAUUAUUAGUCUCUGUGCA